AGUCUAUUCACGAAACCGAAGGCUUUAGCUUGUUUGCUGGUCUCUAAUAUUUAUGUUUUUCGAAUAUACGAUGCGGCGUUCCAUUUUUAAAAUGUGAUUCUAUGUAAUAUUCGAAUUCGAAAUUUAAAUUUUGACUCAGUGUAUAUUAGGAUAUAGAUUUGUUCGUGUAUACUUUUUGUGUUAGUGUGAUUUUACGAACUUUGAGGAUGAGUCUUCGGAGAGCCGACUCAUCUGCUACAGAUCGUGGCAGAGACAAAAAUAUUAGCCGCCUGAAUGGAUUCCUAAAUUUGAAAACACCUCUGAUUAGCACCAAGACAUUGGGGUAAGUUAAAUUUAAAAAUUUCCACACAAAAACACUGUCGUAUUUUAAUAUAGCUGGAUUCCUAUUCGACCUUAAUGUUAUUUUAUUAUUUUAAUAUUUACAUAUUCCAAGGAUAACAAUUAUCAAGCAGGAGAUUUUAAAUUAA
RNAcentral lists this unclassified non-coding RNA (467 nucleotides) under Melitaea cinxia (Glanville fritillary). RNAcentral's name for it is "misc RNA ENSMCXG00005005019.1". Lineage: Eukaryota; Metazoa; Arthropoda; Insecta; Lepidoptera; Nymphalidae. The record is from RNAcentral.